RNAcentral lists this ribosomal RNA (468 nucleotides) under uncultured bacterium. RNAcentral describes it as "partial 16S ribosomal RNA". It matches the Rfam family "Bacterial small subunit ribosomal RNA", at positions 28 to 507 of the family's 1533-position model. The record is from RNAcentral.
GACGAACGCUGGCGGCGUGCUUAACACAUGCAAGUCGAACGGCAAGGCCCUGCUUUUGUGGUCUUCUCGAGUGGCGAACGGGUGAGUAACACGUGUGUAACCUGCCCUUCACUUUGGUAUAACUUCAGGAAACUGGGGCUAAUACCGGAUAGGAUCUCCUGCUGCAUGGUGGGGGUUGGAAAGUUUCGGCGGGUGGGGUUGGACGGGCGGCUUAUGAGCUUGUUGGUGGGGUAGUGGCUUACCCAGGCUUUGACGGGUAGCCGGCCUGAGAGGGUGACCGGGGACAUGGGGACUGAGAUACGGAGCAGAGUGGUACGGGAGGCAGCAGGGGGGAAUAUGGCACAAUGGGAGGGAGCCUGAGGCAGCAACGCCGGGUGUGGGAUGACGGCCUGCGGGGUGUAAACAGCUUUCGCCUGUGACGAAGCGUGAGUGACGGUAAUGGGUAAAGAAGCACCGGCUAACUACGUG